This 233-nucleotide ribosomal RNA is filed under the name uncultured Lambertella. RNAcentral describes it as "partial 18S ribosomal RNA". It matches the Rfam family "Eukaryotic small subunit ribosomal RNA", at positions 39 to 276 of the family's 1831-position model. The record is from RNAcentral. Lineage: Eukaryota; Fungi; Ascomycota; Leotiomycetes; Helotiales; Rutstroemiaceae.
AAAGAUUAAGCCAUGCAUGUCUAAGUAUAAGCAACUAUACUGUGAAACUGCGAAUGGCUCAUUAAAUCAGUUAUCGUUUAUUUGAUAGUACCUUACUACAUGGAUAACCGUGGUAAUUCUAGAGCUAAUACAUGCUAAAAACCUCGACUUCGGAAGGGGUGUAUUUAUUAGAUAAAAAACCAAUGCCCUUCGGGGCUCCUUGGUGAUUCAUAAUAACUUAACGAAUCGCAUGG